UACGUAGGGAGCAAGCGUUGUCCGGAAUCAUUGGGCGUAAAGCGCGCGUAGGUGGUCCCGUAAGUCCGCUGUGAAAGUCAAAGGCUCAACCUUUGAAAGCCGGUGGAUACUGUGGGACUAGAGUACGGAAGAGGCGAGUGGAAUUCCUGGUGUAGCGGUGGAAUGCGCAGAUAUUGGGAGGAACACCAGCGGCGAAGGCGGCACUCUGGGCUGGUAUUGACGCUGAGGAGCGAAAGCGUGGGUAGCGAACAGG
RNAcentral lists this ribosomal RNA (253 nucleotides) under uncultured bacterium. RNAcentral describes it as "partial 16S ribosomal RNA". It matches the Rfam family "Bacterial small subunit ribosomal RNA", at positions 524 to 776 of the family's 1533-position model. The record is from RNAcentral.